GAUGAACGCUGGCGGCGUGCCUAAUACAUGCAAGUCGAGCGAACAGACGAGGAGCUUGCUCCUCUGACGUUAGCGGCGGACGGGUGAGUAACACGUGGAUAACCUACCUAUAAGACUGGGAUAACUUCGGGAAACCGGAGCUAAUACCGGAUAAUAUAUUGAACCGCAUGGUUCAAUAGUGAAAGACGGUUUUGCUGUCUCUUAUAGAUGGAUCCGCGCCGCAUUAGCUAGUUGGUAAGGUAACGGCUUACCAAGGCAACGAUGCGUAGCCGACCUGAGAGGGUGAUCGGCCACACUGGAACUGAGACACGGUCCAGACUCCUACGGGAGGCAGCAGUAGGGAAUCUUCCGCAAUGGGCGAAAGCUUGACGGAGCAACGCCGCGUGAGUGAUGAAGGUCUUCGGAUCGUAAAGCUCUGUUAUUAGGGAAGAACAAAUGUGUAAGUAACUAUGCACGUCUUGACGGUACCUAAUCAGAAAGCCACGGCUAACUACGUG
This 497-nucleotide ribosomal RNA is filed under the name uncultured bacterium. RNAcentral's name for it is "partial 16S ribosomal RNA". It matches the Rfam family "Bacterial small subunit ribosomal RNA", at positions 28 to 507 of the family's 1533-position model. The record is from RNAcentral.